CACACGUGCUACAAUGGCGUAAACAGAGGGAAGCGAGCCUGCGAGGGGGAGCGAAUCCCAAAAAUAACGUCCCAGUUCGGAUUGUAGUCUGCAACCCGACUACAUGAAGCUGGAAUCGCUAGUAAUCGCGGAUCAGAAUGCCGCGGUGAAUACGUUCCCGGGUCUUGUACACACCGCCCGUCAAGCCAUGAGAGUCACCAACACCCGAAGUCCGCUUUGGCGGCCUAAGGUGGGGGAGAUGAUUGGGGUUAAGUCGUAACAAGGUAGC
Molecule: ribosomal RNA, 268 nt
Filed under: uncultured bacterium
Lineage: Bacteria
Description: partial 16S ribosomal RNA
Rfam family: Bacterial small subunit ribosomal RNA
Source: RNAcentral